This 386-nucleotide ribosomal RNA is filed under the name uncultured bacterium. RNAcentral describes it as "bacterial SSU rRNA". It matches the Rfam family "Bacterial small subunit ribosomal RNA", at positions 28 to 417 of the family's 1533-position model. The record is from RNAcentral.
GACGAACGCUGGCGGCGUGCUUAACACAUGCAAGUCGAGCGGUAAGGCCCUUUCGGGGGUACACGAGCGGCGAACGGGUGAGUAACACGUGGGUGACCUGCCCUCAGCUCUGGGAUAAGCCUGGGAAACUGGGUCUAAUACUGGAUAUGACUCCACGGUGCAUGUCGUGGGUGGAAAGCCUUGUGCGGCUGAGGAUGGGCCCGCGGCCUAUCAGCUUGUUGGUGGGGUGAUGGCCUACCAAGCGACGACGGGUAGCCGGCCUGAGAGGGCGACCGGCCACACUGGGACUGAGACACGGCCCAGACUCCUACGGGAGGCAGCAGUGGGGAAUCUUGCGCAAUGGGCGAAAGCCUGACGCAGCGACGCCGCGUGAGGGAUGACGGCCU